RNAcentral lists this ribosomal RNA (1408 nucleotides) under metagenome. Its description in RNAcentral is "bacterial SSU rRNA". It matches the Rfam family "Bacterial small subunit ribosomal RNA". The record is from RNAcentral.
AGAGUUUGAUCCUGGCUCAGGACGAACGCUGGCGGCGCGCCUAACACAUGCAAGUCGAACGAGAGAGAGGGAGCUUGCUUCCUUGAUCGAGUGGCGAACGGGUGAGUAACGCGUGAGGAACCUGCCUCAAAGAGGGGGACAACAGUUGGAAACGACUGCUAAUACCGCAUAAGCCCACGACCCGGCAUCGGGAAGAGGGAAAAGGAGCAAUCCGCUUUGAGAUGGCCUCGCGUCCGAUUAGCUAGUUGGUGAGGUAACGGCCCACCAAGGCGACGAUCGGUAGCCGGACUGAGAGGUUGAACGGCCACAUUGGACUGAGACACGGCCCAGACUCCUACGGGAGGCAGCAGUGGGGAAUAUUGCACAAUGGGGGAAACCCUGAUGCAGCGACGCCGCGUGGAGGAAGAAGGUCUUCGGAUUGUAAACUCCUGUUGUUGAGGAAGAUAAUGACGGUACUCAACAAGGAAGUGACGGCUAACUACGUGCCAGCAGCCGCGGUAAAACGUAGGUCACAAGCGUUGUCCGGAAUUACUGGGUGUAAAGGGAGCGCAGGCGGGCGAUCAAGUUGGAAGUGAAAUCCAUGGGCUCAACCCAUGAACUGCUUUCAAAACUGGUCGUCUUGAGUAGUGCAGAGGUAGGCGGAAUUCCCGGUGUAGCGGUGGAAUGCGUAGAUAUCGGGAGGAACACCAGUGGCGAAGGCGGCCUACUGGGCACCAACUGACGCUGAGGCUCGAAAGUGUGGGUAGCAAACAGGAUUAGAUACCCUGGUAGUCCACACCGUAAACGAUGAUUACUAGGUGUUGGGAGAUUGACCCUCUCAGUGCCGCAGUCAACACAAUAAGUAAUCCACCUGGGGAGUACGACCGCAAGGUUGAAACUCAAAGGAAUUGACGGGGGCCCGCACAAGCAGUGGAGUAUGUGGUUUAAUUCGACGCAACGCGAAGAACCUUACCAAGUCUUGACAUCCCUUGACGAUGCUGGAAACAGUAUUUCUCUUCGGAGCAAGGAGACAGGUGGUGCAUGGUUGUCGUCAGCUCGUGUCGUGAGAUGUUGGGUUAAGUCCCGCAACGAGCGCAACCCUUAUGGUCAGUUACUACGCAAGAGGACUCUGGCCAGACUGCCGUUGACAAAACGGAGGAAGGUGGGGAUGACGUCAAAUCAUCAUGCCCUUUAUGACUUGGGCUACACACGUACUACAAUGGCGUUAAACAAAGAGAAGCAAGACCGCGAGGUGGAGCAAAACUCAGAAACAACGUCCCAGUUCGGACUGCAGGCUGCAACUCGCCUGCACGAAGUCGGAAUUGCUAGUAAUCGUGGAUCAGCAUGCCACGGUGAAUACGUUCCCGGGCCUUGUACACACCGCCCGUCACACCAUGAGAGCCGGGGGGACCCGAAGUCGGUAGUCUAA